This 21-nucleotide non-coding RNA is filed under the name Caenorhabditis elegans. The record is from RNAcentral. Lineage: Eukaryota; Metazoa; Nematoda; Chromadorea; Rhabditida; Rhabditidae.
UUGUCUUUCUUUACGUUGCUU